This 253-nucleotide ribosomal RNA is filed under the name uncultured bacterium. Its description in RNAcentral is "partial 16S ribosomal RNA". It matches the Rfam family "Bacterial small subunit ribosomal RNA", at positions 524 to 776 of the family's 1533-position model. The record is from RNAcentral.
UACGUAUGGGGCAAGCGUUAUCCGGAUUUAUUGGGCGUAAAGAGCGCGUAGGCGGAUUGUUAAGUCAGGUGUGAAAUCCGGGGGCUCAACCCGCGGUCUGCAUCUGAAACUGGCAGUCUUGAGUCUGGUAGAGGAAAGUGGAAUUCCCAGUGUAGCGGUGAAAUGCGCAGAUAUUGGGAGGAACACCCAUGGCGAAGGCAGGUUACUGGGCUUUAUCUGACGCUGAGGCGCGAAAGCGUGGGUAGCAAACAGG